Molecule: non-coding RNA, 73 nt
Organism: Phrynosoma platyrhinos (Desert horned lizard)
Lineage: Eukaryota; Metazoa; Chordata; Lepidosauria; Squamata; Phrynosomatidae
Source: the annotation of a GenBank genome assembly
GCCUGUUUGAUAUAGUGGUAUCACUGCUGAACUAAAACUCCAAGAUACCAGGGUUCAAGUCCCCAUGUGGGCA